This 484-nucleotide ribosomal RNA is filed under the name uncultured bacterium. Its description in RNAcentral is "partial 16S ribosomal RNA". It matches the Rfam family "Bacterial small subunit ribosomal RNA", at positions 30 to 507 of the family's 1533-position model. The record is from RNAcentral.
AUUGAACGCUGGCGGCAGGCCUAACACAUGCAGGUCGAGCGGAUGAAGGGAGCUUGCUCCUGGAUUCAGCGGCGGACGGGUGAGUAAUGCCUAGGAAUCUGCCUGGUAGUGGGGGAUAACGUCCGGAAACGGGCGCUAAUACCGCAUACGUCCUGAGGGAGAAAGUGGGGGAUCUUCGGACCUCACGCUAUCAGAUGAGCCUAGGUCGGAUUAGCUAGUUGGUGGGGUAAAGGCCUACCAAGGCGACGAUCCGUAACUGGUCUGAGAGGAUGAUCAGUCACACUGGAACUGAGACACGGUCCAGACUCCUACGGGAGGCAGCAGUGGGGAAUAUUGGACAAUGGGCGAAAGCCUGAUCCAGCCAUGCCGCGUGUGUGAAGAAGGUCUUCGGAUUGUAAAGCACUUUAAGUUGGGAGGAAGGGCAGUAAGUUAAUACCUGGCUGUUUUGACGUUACCAACAGAAUAAGCACCGGCUAACUUCGUG